This 996-nucleotide long non-coding RNA is filed under the name Sorghum bicolor (sorghum). RNAcentral's name for it is "long non-coding RNA (SBIC_LNC003635)". Lineage: Eukaryota; Viridiplantae; Streptophyta; Magnoliopsida; Poales; Poaceae. The record is from RNAcentral.
CCUGUUGCGGCGCCCCGUUAUCCUUAGCUUCAGUAAAAUUGAUCCUGAAUAAGGCAAGUUGUUGAUUCCUUUUGUCCUAGACCUUCUCCAUUUUUUCUACAGUAUUGUUUGUGGUACAUCAAAUGGAUCACGGUUACACUGUUAGUUCUUCAAUGAUGAAACUGGAAGGCGCUGUCCAAAACCUUGCUUAUCUUGUAUGGGCCAUAAACUCACCCUUCAAUUAGAGAGAACUACAAAUAGGCAACAUUGUGUUGGAUAGAGUUGUGAUUAUGAAUCAGGAGACAUGGAUUCCACGCCCAUACUGUCAUAUGUAUCUGCAAAUAAGUUUGCAAUUUGCAUUUACGAUAUUACAUUUUGUGAAUAGGGUGUGGGUGUAUGGGUUGCAACAAUUUUAUCUACAAAAGCUUUUGACUUAUUUGCACAUGGUAGUAGUAGUGGAUAAAUCUAUUGCCAUUUUCACUUCAUUGAAAACAUACUAAUAACUUUGCUGGGAGAGGAACAGGACAUUGACUGGGAGUUGUCUGAUUGAAGAUUGUUAAAUCUUCAACCUUUUUAUGUUCCGCUAACAUGCUUACAUUUCUUUCGGGAAUCAUUAUUUCAGGUUACAUCCCCUUUUGGAGACAUUGUUCAUAAGAAAGAAAAGGUUUCAAUGGAGCAAUUUGCAUUUACCACAGCAGAAGCAGGGAACUACCUUGCCUGCUUCUCGAUUGAUGGUGAGGACAGAGGGUUAGCGGUGAAACUAAAUCUUGAUUGGAAAGUUGGGAUAGCUACUAGAGACUGGAAUUCUGUUGCUAAAAAGGAAAAGAUCGAGGUAAAGUAUAUGAAAAUGAGGUGUUACCCUGCCAGUUGUUGUUUUGUUUUAUUCCCCUUCCAUAUGACAUCAAGUUUCAUAAUCAGGGAGUCGAACUGGAGUUACUCAAGCUUGAAGUUGCUGUCCAAUCAAUCCAAGACAACCUGCUUCUUCUAAAAUCCAAGUCUGUGCAUCCACUUAUUUUC